This 373-nucleotide unclassified non-coding RNA is filed under the name soil metagenome. RNAcentral describes it as "partial contains 5.8S ribosomal RNA, internal transcribed spacer 2, and large subunit ribosomal RNA". The stretch from base 1 to 120 matches the Rfam family "5.8S ribosomal RNA", at positions 35 to 154 of the family's 154-position model. The record is from RNAcentral.
GAUGAAGAACGUAGCGAAAUGCGAUAAGUAAUGUGAAUUGCAGAAUUCAGUGAAUCAUCGAAUCUUUGAACGCACAUUGCGCCCGCCAGUAUUCUGGCGGGCAUGCCUGUUCGAGCGUCAUUUCAACCCUCAAGACCCCUUCGGGGGACUUGGUGUUGGGGACCGGCUGUUCCCGGCCUGCUUCUUGCAGCGCCUUUAUGCCGCCCCCGAAAUGAAUUGGCGGCCUCGUCGCGGCCUCCCCUGCGUAGUAGCACAACCUCGCAACGGGAACGUGACGGCGGCCACUGCCGUAAAACAACCCCAAUUUUAUUAGAGUUGACCUCGAAUCAGGUAGGAAUACCCGCUGAACUUAAGCAUAUCAAUAAGCGGAGGA